This 253-nucleotide ribosomal RNA is filed under the name uncultured bacterium. Its description in RNAcentral is "partial 16S ribosomal RNA". It matches the Rfam family "Bacterial small subunit ribosomal RNA", at positions 524 to 776 of the family's 1533-position model. The record is from RNAcentral.
UACGUAGGGGGCUAGCGUUGUCCGGAUUUAUUGGGCGUAAAGAGCGUGUAGGCGGCCAGGUAGGUCCGUUGUGAAAACUCGAGGCUCAACCUCGAGACGUCGGCGGAAACCCUCUGGCUAGAGUCCGGAAGAGGAGAGUGGAAUUCCUGGUGUAGCGGUGAAAUGCGCAGAUAUCAGGAGGAACACCGGUGGCGAAGGCGGGUCUCUGGGCCGUAACUGACGCUGAGGAGCGAAAGCGUGGGGAGCGAACAGG